Molecule: ribosomal RNA, 492 nt
Filed under: uncultured bacterium
Lineage: Bacteria
Description: partial 16S ribosomal RNA
Rfam family: Bacterial small subunit ribosomal RNA
Source: RNAcentral
AGUGAACGCUGGCGGUAGGCCUAACGCAUGCAAGUCGAACGGCAGCACAGUAAGAGCUUGCUCUUACGGGUGGCGAGUGGCGGACGGGUGAGGAAUACAUCGGAAUCUACUUUUUCGUGGGGGAUAACGUAGGGAAACUUACGCUAAUACCGCAUACGACCUACGGGUGAAAGCAGGGGAUCUUCGGACCUUGCGCGAUUGAAUGAGCCGAUGUCGGAUUAGCUAGAUGGCGGGGUAAAGGCCCACCAAGGCGACGAUCCGUAGCUGGUCUGAGAGGAUGAUCAGCCACACUGGAACUGAGACACGGUCCAGACUCCUACGGGAGGCAGCAGUGGGGAAUAUUGGACAAUGGGCGCAAGCCUGAUCCAGCCAUACCGCGUGGGUGAAGAAGGCCUUCGGGUUGUAAAGCCCUUUUGUUGGGAAAGAAAAGCAGCAGGUUAAUACCCCGCUGUUCUGACGGUACCCAAAGAAUAAGCACCGGCUAACUUCGUG